RNAcentral lists this long non-coding RNA (1006 nucleotides) under Nicotiana tabacum (common tobacco). Its description in RNAcentral is "long non-coding RNA (NTAB_LNC001579)". Lineage: Eukaryota; Viridiplantae; Streptophyta; Magnoliopsida; Solanales; Solanaceae. The record is from RNAcentral.
CGGGAGAAAGUGGUGCCAUACCAAAAUUGGAAUAAAACAUAAUAAAAUUUACAUAAAAAACUCUAACUUUUAUCAAACCUAAAUCUACCGUCAAGUCUCAUUUCCCUUCCUCCUCAUAGAGGUAAAAACCCUAAAUCCCUUAAACUUCCAUACUUCUCUCAAAGGCAUUUUCUUGGUAUGUUAAGAAACAUUUUUCUUGGUAUCUUAAGGAACAUUUUUCUUUUAUUUGUCUUACGAUAGAUUUGCUACUCCCAUAUUUUGCAGGUUUGGGGAAAAUAUCAAAUUGAAAAACUGCUAUCCAUCUCACCACAAGUAAGCACACUUUCUUUUUCUAUGUAUCUUUUGGGUUAACCUUUGUUUAUUAUUUUUCAACAACCCAUAUUUGCAGGUUUGUGAAAUCUUCAUUUUUUUUAAUUUUUUUUGUUGGUAGAAAUUGAUUGCUAGUCAGCAAAUAUUUUUACAAUCAAUUUCUUUUCUAGAUUAUAUUUGGGUGUCCCUUUGUGAAUUGUUUGUAAAAGCCUAUGCGUUGUUUGGUUUUUUUCCUUUUGUUCUUCCUCUGCUUCUCUGUUCUUAUAUUUGAAACUUUACCUGUCUCUCUUCUGCUUUGACUGUGAUUGCAUUUUGGUGUUGUUGGGUUUCAAUCGGUUACUGGGUUAUUCUACUGAUCAUUUACUGGAUUCUGCUGGUUUUGCCGUGUUGCUGAACUUGUUGUUGCUGUGUAUUUACACUACUGCUGCUUCUACUGAUCUUCAUCUUUUUUCCUUGCUUUCCAAAUACCAGGUACACAAACUGAUACACUGGUACAUCUUGUAAGCUACUCGAAGCAUGAAUGCAAAAAUGGGAAAGAUUUGAAGCUGUAGUUUAAUGUAGUCUUUUCUUUCUUUUACUGUCUGUACUUAGAACAUUCUAUGCGUUGCCCAUGUAAACUCUGGUUAUAUACUGAAUCUCGGUUGUAUAUAUGUUAGCUAGUUGCCUUCACUAGAAUCAGGUAGUUGUUGGUUNNNNN